UUGAGUAGGAGUCCUAUUAGGAGUUGGUUAGAAGUAAGAGUCUUAAGUAGGAGUCCUAUUAGGAGUUAGAGUUUAGAAGCCCUAUAAAUAGCCAUGUAUUCCUUCUCUUUUGAUAAGCAAUAGAUGAAUCUUUUCUGCAGCCUUUGAGCAGCAACUUGGAGGGAGGAACCCCUAUAGAGUUCCAAGGAGGCCGAUCCCCUAAAGAGAUCAAUCCCAAGU
RNAcentral lists this long non-coding RNA (219 nucleotides) under Musa acuminata (dwarf banana). RNAcentral describes it as "long non-coding RNA (MACU_LNC011355)". The record is from RNAcentral. Lineage: Eukaryota; Viridiplantae; Streptophyta; Magnoliopsida; Zingiberales; Musaceae.